UUGUCCAGUUGCACCUUGGAGACCAACUAAGUUUGUUCUGGGUACAAGCUUUCGUGUGCAUGAACACAAAAGCUUACACCCAGAACAAACUUAGUUGGUCUCUAAGGUGCUACUGGACAA
Non-coding RNA from Podarcis lilfordi (Lilford's wall lizard), 120 nucleotides. Lineage: Eukaryota; Metazoa; Chordata; Lepidosauria; Squamata; Lacertidae. The record is from the annotation of a GenBank genome assembly.